Molecule: transfer RNA, 71 nt
Filed under: Mus musculus (house mouse)
Lineage: Eukaryota; Metazoa; Chordata; Mammalia; Rodentia; Muridae
Description: tRNA-Ser
Source: RNAcentral
GGUGAGAUGGCUCAGUGGGUAAGAGUACUGACUGCUCCUCCAAAGGUCCUGAGUUCAAAUCCCAGCAACCA